Anopheles funestus (African malaria mosquito) is the source of this 1388-nucleotide long non-coding RNA. RefSeq lists it as uncharacterized. NCBI's taxonomy places the organism in Eukaryota, Metazoa, Arthropoda, Insecta, Diptera, Culicidae. The record is from RefSeq and is a predicted model, not a curated record. The transcript has 2 exons.
CGAUGUGCAAUACGUAUCCGGCCACGGCACGGAACGAACGGGAACUGUGGUGCAGACAUACAAAGAGUUAAGCCUAUUAGUCAUUAACUCUAAGGACGGGGCCAUGGGGCGGUACGCAAAGGAUACGGAUGAGCGAGUAUGCAGGCCCAAUACUCAAUAGCUCGAUCCGAUCCAAGCACAUGAGUUGACUGCGGCGCCAGGUUAACCAAUGUGCUAGAUUCUAUUUGGCCAGUAGAAUCUUGUGUCUUACGCGAUUUGAUACCAAGACACCAGAACGAAAGUUAGUUGAAGAGUGAUUAAACUCUUAUGAAGAAUGGUUGUGCAAUCACAACUUAUGACUUUAACCUAUAAAGUGGAUAUGGACUAUCAAUUAUAACAUGGGGCACACACCAUGUUCUCGAUCCAAUCCACGCACACGAGUUGCCUGAGUAGCGACAGGUAUACCGAUGUGCAAUACGUAUCCGGCCACGGCACGGAACGAACGGGAACUGUGGUGCAGACAUACAAAGAGUUAAGCCUACUAGUCAUUAACUCUAAGGACGGGGCCAUGGGGCGGUACGCAAAGGAUACGGAUGAGCGAGUAUGCAGGCCCAAUACUCAAUAGCUCGAUCCGAUCCAAGCACAUGAGUUGACUGCGGCGCCAGGUUAACCAAUGUGCUAGAUUCUAUUUGGCCAGUAGAAUCUUGUGUCUUACGCGAUUUGAUACCAAGACACCAGAACGAAAGUUAGUUGAAGAGUGAUUAAACUCUUAUGAAGAAUGGUUGUGCAAUCACAACUUAUGACUUUAACCUAUAAAGUGGAUAUGGACUAUCAAUUAUAACAUGGGGCACACACCAUGUUCUCGAUCCAAUCCACGCACACGAGUUGCCUGAGUAGCGACAGGUAUACCGAUGUGCAAUACGUAUCCGGCCAUAGGCACGGAACGAACAGGAGCUGUGGUGCAGACAUACAAGGGCCAUGGGGCGGUACGCAAAGGAUACGGAUGAGCGAGUAUGCAGGCCCAAUACUCAAUAGCUCGAUCCGAUCCAAGCACAUGAGUUGACUGCGGCGUCAGGUUAACCGAUGUGCAAUACGUAUCCGGCCAUAGGCACGGAACGAACAGGAACUGUGGUGCAGACAUACAAGGGCCAUGGGGCGGUACGCAAAGGAUACGGAUGAGCGAGUAUGCAGGCCCAAUACUCAAUAGCUCGAUCCGAUCCAAGCACAUGAGUUGACUGCGGCGCCAGGUUAACCGAUGUGCUAAGAGAGUUGUUCCUGGGCCUUCAAAGUGACUUCAAAACUAUCUUAGCGAAUGGUGGCCAUGGGCGUAGACAUGAGCCACAAGUCACAAGGCCUGGGACUAUUGGGUAAUAAAGACAACUUAGUCAGAAAGUUAGUCUUUGGACGUA